CUGCUGGGGGAAGCAGCCAAACCCCAAAGCCGAAGUCCAGCUCGCCGGUGCCCCAAGCCCACCCUCCCGCCCCUACUUUCUCCGCGCUGAUGGGCUGCUGCGUCGGCCACGGGCCCACCUGGAAGCGCCGCCGCCCUCGCGACUUUUCCUGAGGGCGAAGCGGAGCGGGAGCAGUUGGCGAAGUGGCCCGAGACUUCAGAGAGAGGCGCUGCCUCGCUUCGCCUCAGGAGAGGAAGCGCGCGCGGCGGCAGCAGCAGCGCCUUCAGGCAGGCGGCACACUUGGGCACAGAGGGGCGCGCGCGGGUCUGAGGUGGACGGAGAAGCAGCCACUCCGAAACGGGCUUCGCCCGCCAGCCUCGCCGACUCUCUUCCCUCAGCCGCCUUGACUUGGCCGGUAGACCCAGCUGGGGCUGCUCCUCAGGCAGGACGGGCGCCCUUUCGCCCCAAGCGCGAGCGGCAAGAGCGGGGUCCGGGCGGCGGGAGCUGCUGCUGCUGCGAGGUUUAUGGAACCCAAGUUCUCAAGAAUAUCAAACCAUAUAUCAUCAUUUCUUAUGAAAAUAUGCAUCGGUGGCCUAUAUGCUUCCAUCUCUUACCACCACCUGGACAUUCUAGGCUGACUUGGUCAACAUUUUAAUGGCAGGUCAAGGCAAGGACCUCCACUCAUGUCGGCGCCAUUCCCACGGAAGAGCUUGGUUUCAUCUUUGCGAUCAUCAUUCAUAGUGUCACCCAGAGUAAUUAUUAGUGGACACUUGGCUGCUACAAGAAACACACACACUCUGUCAUCGUCCCAGGGAAGCCACGGAACCAAGAGGUGGGGAAAACAAUGCUGAUUUACUCUCUUUGAAGAAUAGCAGAGGGGAAAGGAAGUUAGCUCCACCGGGUGGAUUUUCAGCCUCUCGGAUUUUCAGUCCAUGCUGAAGAUUUUAAGAUUUUAUUGUUUUAUGUUCAUUGUAUUGUAAUUCCACAUUGUAUUGUAUUAUAUUGUAAUUUUUCAUUUCCAAUAUAUACAGUACAUAUUGUAUUUGUUAUUUUGUAAACUGAAUAGAGUAGGGCUGCCACAUGUCCGGAUGUUACUGGGAUUUCAAAGGCGGAAUUGAUGUCUAGGGGGGAUUUCUGAUAGGUGGCACUUUUAGGCAAUUGAUUUUUUUUUGUGUUUUUGUAAAAAGAAAAGAAAAGAAAUCUCAAUAACCUAGCAUAGAGACCAGUGUUGUUUUAAACCACAGAGCCUAGGACUUGCCGAUCAGAAGGUCGACAGUUCAAAUCCCCGCAUCAGGGUGAGCUCCUGUUGCUCAGUCCCUGCUCCUGCCAACCUAGCAGUUCGAAAGCACAUUGAAGUGCAAGUAGAUAAAUAGGUACCACUCCGGUGGGAAGGUAAAUGGCGUUUCUGUGCACUGCUCUGGUUUCGCCAGAAGCGGCUUAGUCAUGCUGGCCACAUGACCCGGAAGCUGUACGCUGGCUCCCUCGGCCAGUAAAGCGAGAUGAGCGCCACAACCCCAGAGUCGGCCACGACUGGACCUAAUGGUCAGGGGUCCCUUUACCUUUACCUUAGGUGCUGGAGCUCACCAUGAACACCUCCUCCAUUCUCUUAGAAUGGCAAUGGCCCACCUGAGAGGUGCCAGAACUGAGUUCUGGUGAGUUCCUGCUGGAAAAAAAGCCCUGACAAAGACAGCAUAUAAGCAGCAUAUAAAUGUGUGAAAUAAAUAAAUAAUGAAUACAGUGAUACCUCGGGUUAAGAACUUAAUUUGUUCCAGAGGUCCAUUCUUAACCUGAAACUGUUCUUAACCUGAAGCACCACUUUAGCUAAUGGGGUCUCCCACUGCCACCGCACCACCACUGCACGAUUUCUGUUCUUAUCCUGAAGCAAAGUUCUUAACCCAAGGUACUAUUCUGGGUUAGCGGAGUCUGUAACCUGAAGCAUCUGUAACCUGAAGCGCCUGUAACCCGAGGUACCACUGUAUAGACAGAUUUGUCGAUCCCUGUCAUCAGCCCAAUGGGUUUUGCAACUAAGUAUUACCCAGAGUGGACCCAUUAAAAUUAAUGGAUCUUCCUUAGUCAUUUUCAUUUUCUUUCUACUCUGAGUAAAAAUAGUUGACUACCACUGCUCCUGUUAGCAACUGGAUGAAAGUUACAGAAUGAAGGAUUGCGCCAUCUUCUAUUCUUUAUUGGGUUUUCUCCUCCUACCCUACCCUGUGGGUUCAAGACAUCUCCAAGAACAAAUCCCAGUAAUGAUUAUUCUUAUCAGACCAAUGGUUCACCAUAAUCAGACAUGCCUGGGAAGUUUAUGUGCAAAUGCCUUUCUUGCAUUAGGUAGUACGGUAUAUUGUCUCCAAACAGAACUGCACAUUUGGCUACCAUACAUUUAUUUAUUAUAUUAAUCCACAAUUGCCAAAUAACAUUGUUCUCUGGACUUCACAGCAUAAAAUGACAAAUUAAAAAAAAGCACUAUAUUAAAAUAAUUUGCAGCACUCAAACUGUCUUAUAAGAACUAACAGAUCUAACAUAUGUUGGGAUUCUGGUGCCAGGUUAAAACAUAUUGGUUCUCUCAGACCUUUGGAGAAAGUUAAUUGAAGCCUUCCAAUGUCCUAGGAUUAUUCUGAGUUCUUGUUUCAUUGCCUGUGAUGGCUUAAUUGGCUUUAAUUGAUUUUUAAUUGUGGCUUUAUCCUGUACAAUAUGUUGUUUUAUAUAUUGUUUAUGGAAACCACUCUGUGAUUGCUACGCGAUGAAGGACAGUCUGGAAGUCUGGUAAAUAAAUAGAUGGAAGCUGUUCAUGUAAGUGGAUAUCACAUUAAUCUGCUGUGAAAAGUGUGUUGUGUAAAGAUUUGCCUUCAGUAGUUUCAAACUGGUAGCAUAUCAGUGUCAGAGGAU
This 2865-nucleotide long non-coding RNA is filed under the name Podarcis muralis (Common wall lizard). Its description in RNAcentral is "lncRNA (ENSPMRG00000011279.1)". The record is from RNAcentral. Lineage: Eukaryota; Metazoa; Chordata; Lepidosauria; Squamata; Lacertidae.